GAUGAACGCUGGCGGCGUGCCUAAUACAUGCGAGUCGAGCGAACAGACGAGGAGCUUGCUCCUCUGACGUUAGCGGCGGACGGGUGAGUAACACGUGGAUAACUUACCUAUAAGACUGGGAUAACUUCGGGAAACCGGAGCUAAUACCGGAUAAUAUAUUGAACCGCAUGGUUCAAUAGUGAAAGACGGUUUUGCUGUCACUUAUAGAUGGAUCCGCGCCGCAUUAGCUAGUUGGUAAGGUAACGGCUUACCAAGGCAACGAUGCGUAGCCGACCUGAGAGGGUGAUCGGCCACACUGGAACUGAGACACGGUCCAGACUCCUACGGGAGGCAGCAGUAGGGAAUCUUCCGCAAUGGGCGAAAGCCUGACGGAGCAACGCCGCGUGAGUGAUGAAGGUCUUCGGAUCGUAAAACUCUGUUAUUAGGGAAGAACAAAUGUGUAAGUAACUAUGCACGUCUUGACGGUACCUAAUCAGAAAGCCACGGCUAACUACGUG
This 497-nucleotide ribosomal RNA is filed under the name uncultured bacterium. RNAcentral's name for it is "partial 16S ribosomal RNA". It matches the Rfam family "Bacterial small subunit ribosomal RNA", at positions 28 to 507 of the family's 1533-position model. The record is from RNAcentral.